Molecule: ribosomal RNA, 506 nt
Filed under: uncultured bacterium
Lineage: Bacteria
Description: bacterial SSU rRNA
Rfam family: Bacterial small subunit ribosomal RNA
Source: RNAcentral
GACGAACGCUGGCGGCGUGGAUUAGGCAUGCAAGUCGAACGGUAUCAUCCUUUCGGGGGUGAGAGAGUGGCGAACUGGUGAGUAACACGUAGGUUAUCUACCCUCAAGACGGGGACAACCCAGGGAAACUUGGGCUAAUACCGGAUGUGAGCAACUUUUAGUUGUUUGAAAGGUGGCGUAAGCUGUCGCUUGGGGAUGAGCCUGCGUCCUAUUAGUUAGUUGGUGAGGUAACGGCUCACCUAGGCAAUGAUAGGUAGGCGGCCUUAACGGGUGGUCGCCCACACUGGGAUUGAGAUACGGCCCAGACUCCUACGGGAGGCAGCAGUCGAGAAUAGUCUACAAUGGUCGGAAGACUGAUAGUGCGACGCCGCGUGAACGAUGAAUCCCUUCGGGUGUAAAGUUCUUUUAUAUGUGAGCAGUGCUUCUUAUAUUAACAGUAUGGGGAGAGAGAUAUUAGCAUAUGAAUAAGCAACGGCUAACUCCGUGCCAGCAGCCGCGGUAAUACG